CUAGGGGAGGUGCUUCUGUGGACAAACGACAAUGUGUGCCCUGCAAUGAGUGUUCUAAGUCGCACCCCCUUUAUUCUUAUUGCCCUUACACCCCUUGUGAUAUUUGUGACAAGGUUCACGACUCUGAGUGUUGCCCUUACUUCGACCAUCUCCCACAAGGGGCAACUUUUCCCCCUGGAUAUGAAAUAGUUUGUCGAUGCGGUAAUUUAUUUAAUGAGGAUAAGUGGGCUUGUAGCUCUUGUAGUGGGAGCAUUCCAGUGCUUGCGGCCAAGUAUUGUUCCAUUUGUAAUGUCUAUUAUCAGCACAGUGUAUAUGAAUGCCCAGUGGACAAGGAACGUGCUGCCAAGUAUAAAUUGGUCAGAGCCGAGAUGCUUUCACGUGUGCCGAUUCCCCAUCGUCCUGUCUAUCCAGAAUCAUCAUGAGGAAUUCCCUAUGUUCCAAUUACUCCUUCCUCGUCGGUUUGUGGAGACAUGAAAGAAGGCAAGGACAUGAACAUAGGCACACCUUGUUGGAAGCCUACUGUGAUUGCACCAGAAGAGGAUUCAGUGAAUGUAACUUUAUGAGUUUAAUGUGAUUGAACAUAAACACGCCUGGAGAACUUUUUAAUAGCUCAAGUGUUUUAAUGUGAAUGGUAUGUGCCUAUGUGUGAUUUACUUUCUUGUUUUUGUUUAAUGUGUGAUGUAGUUUGGUGCUAUAAUGCUCUUCUUUCUUUUGAUAUUGCUUUUCUUUACAUUUGUUGACGAUGUUAAUGGGUAAAAUUCUGUUGGGUUAGUAGUUGUAUAUUGAAACAAAUAUGUCUUCUGGACAAGUAGGUUAGGCAGAAAGAGUCCCUAUUGUAUGUUGAUAUGAGAGAUAAUAUGGGCAAUUGGCUAUUUUGUACCAGGGAAGUUAGUACUCCGGAGGUUAUGGUUUCCAGAAGCCUUGAUUGGCUUGCCAUUAAUUAUGUGUAUUGAGUUGGGGAGCUUUUGCCCUUAUUAUCUCUGCUAAUGGACACCUUCUUCAUUUCCUAGUCUAGAACUUAUUAAGGGUCAAGUUCCUCCUUUUGUUUUGGGUGUUGGUUUAAAUCAUUUCUCAUGGGGAGGUCAAUACUUAUGACGUGGUUAAGAGGAGAAGACUGGCUGCUAUAUGGUGCAUUUUCUGCAAAGAAGGCCGAGAAGAAUGUGAAUCAUCUGUGUUUGUGCUCUUCCGUUGUCUUAGAUCUUUGGGAUGUUCUAAUGUGAUCUGAUUCAUUCCAGCUGAUUGUUGUCUUAGCUCUUUGGGAUGUUCUAAUGUGUUCUGAUUCAUUCCAGCUGAUUGUUUGACUUCACUGUGUGAAAGCUUCAAUUUAUUUUUAGGAGGUAGAAAGUAGUUCCUUCUGGUAAGAUGUGCUAUAAAUGGCUGUGUUUUAGGUUACCUGGUUGUACGAACAAUUCAGUUUUUUUUUUUGGUUGUUGGAACAUGACUAGGGGUAGGGAGAAGGGUGGUUAUAUGCAGUCGGAUAGACGCGCCAUACUGGCUUCAUAAUCUUUUUCCAGCAUUUAAGAAUGGCUCUUUUUUCUAUCUACAAAGGCAAAGCUGCACUCUUUUUGAGUCCUAUUCUCCCGACAUUCACUAUAUUGGAAGUAUGAACUCAUCAACUCUUUCAAUCAUGAUGUCUCAUUGUCAUAUAUUUUUAAACGGAGUCGACAAUAUAUCUCAUCGUUCAUCUGUGUGUAUAUUUCGUAGACUGGACGUGUUGUACUGGACGUGUUGUAGUUGAGCGAGGUGGUUCUGUGAUGUUACAGUUCAUGCCUGCAAUUGGUGAGCCCAAAUAUGACUGUUUGCAUUACAAAAUCUGAAUUUCAUUAUUGUUUACUUCCCAAAGUAAUUCUUGUGAAUUUAAGCUUAAAUGUGUCUCGUUCCAGUUGUUUGCUUUAUCGGCAACAGAGGUUGGGUCUCUCAUCAGCAUUUUUUUUAUUUUUCAUUUUUAUUUUUGUUUUAAUGCAGUCAAGGUCAGAUGUUUCUGCCAUUACUCAUUUUGAUGAUUUAUUUCAUGAUCCUUCAACAGAGGUUGAGUAUGAUCUUUCAAAAAAAAACAGAGGUUGAGGAUGAUUUGACUUCAACAUGGUUAACCGGGAAAACUUGAUAUACAAUGUUGUUACAACCUCAAAUAUGAUGCUGGACGUAUAAUACAAUCAAGGAUUUAAAAUGAGAAUAAUCCAAGUCCUCUGAAUAACUGCCUUCCAGUUGUUCACUUGAAGAUGAGCAACUGGCAGCUUGAGACAAAUUUCCAUUGAGUAUCAAAUUCAAGUCCGGCUUCGGCAAAGAAAACGUGAUUUUUUGAAGCUGAGCAUUUAAACUAUCUUGCAGUUGCUGAGGUGAAUAGUUCUGGCUUUUCAAGAGCUUUUACUAAUUACUACUGAGUUUGCUGCAAGACUAACCUGUAGGAAAGGAGAGGGCAUAAGAGAAAUGAAAUUUAUCCUUCUAUUUGCAUACUGUUGAUGUUAUGUUUUACAAGUGUCAUCACACAUAAUAACUUGUGUCAGACAGGAGGACGACCACCAUUUGAGAUAAUGCAUACAACAUAAGAGAGAGAUCAAUGCCAUGUAAGAACUAUUUUGUAGUUCACAAAAGAGAGUUGGGCAAAACACAAACUCGCAGACAGUACACAGCACACAGUAGAACAUUUUGCAAGGUCAUCUUGGUCAUCAAUACCCAAUCUUGUUGCUGGAAGUAUAAUAUAUGAGACAAGUAGCAAGAUGGAGUAAGCACGUCCACAGAACACAUAUGCAUGAUGAAUCCUACUUUAUCUAGGAUUCCUGCAUCCGCAUAACCUAUUCGUAGCAGCCGUAGGCAAGUAAGAUGACUGUCACUAAAAUUAAAACUUAGACUCGAUCUGGUAACACUUAUCUGUUGAUGACCGCAACCUAACAAAUCCAGACGAGUUUGACAUGAUAAGGGUAUAGCAAGAGGAUUUAAAUAUAAUGUAUUUGCUACAAUUCAGGUGUACUAUAGCGAAACUGAUUCUGUAUUCUAUCUCACAGUCUUUGACCUCUCCAGGACAAUGUCUAAUGGCGAAGCUGCUUAAUAGCUGGUAUCAUUUGCGCUCCUAGCAUACAUUUUUCCUGAACCCUGGUAUCACAAAGACUCCACUGAGUCCAUUCUUAGUUAAUAUUGAGUUCUAGCUACAAAAAGUCUUUAUCUGGAGCAUUAUGAUCCAUUAUCUUAUCAUGAUGAAUAUUUACUGAGUUCCAAUAAAAUGAUCCGCACAUCUCCUUAUUAACUGUUGUGUAUGUGGCAACAUAAUGAUCAGGACCACCAAUAUAGCGCAACAACUUAAAGUCCUAAUAUUGGAAACCUACGCUAAGUUCCUAGCUCCUGGGAGCCACAGCCGGUUACAAAGUAGCUAAACGGACAGCAGCAACAUCUUAUAACAACAAUAUCUAAAGCAUCAACGACCCUUGUCUUUCUGGAUCCUUGUCUUUGGUAAGUUCUAAAUCAUACUAGUAUCAACAUCUACACUCAUCAAAUAGCACAUCCUAAAUAGCGCUGAUGACAACUGAAGAAAGCGCAAAUUUCAUACAGCUGACCAAGCAGAAUAAACUAUUUGCAUGAAGAACUGUUGUUAUGUUUUGCAAGUUUCCAUUAUACAUAAUGCCUUAUGUCGCACAGGAGCACAGCUACUUGAGAUAAGGCAUACAACAUAAGAGAGAUGACUUUGCAUACUAGUCUAAUGAGAAUUAGUUUAAAUCCAUGUUAUCAUACAGUUUUGUAGUUCACAGAAGAGAGUUGGGCAAACUACAAAAACUCUCACACAGUGCACAGCUGACAAGGGAACAUUUCACUACAUUGUCUUGGUCGUCGAUACCCAAUUUUGUUGCUACGAGCAUAAUAUAUGUGACAAGAAGCAAGUAUAAUAUAGCACGUAGACAGCACACAUAUAUGUAUGAUGCAUCCUACUGUUUUCACACAUAUAUGUGGCUCGUGCGCAAAUUCUUUGUUUCACAGACGUCCUAUUCUGAUCCGGCCUAUACAUACAUAUAUACACACACACACACACACACACAGAGGAAUACACAUGAAUAUGUAAGGAAUACUCCGACAGCACUGUCAUUCAAAUUAAAUUUGGAUCCGAUCUGGUAAAAAGCUUAUCUGUUGAUGACCGCAACCUAAUAAAUCCAGGAGAGUUAGGCAUGAGAGGGUUAUAGACUUAUUACUUAUAGCAAGAGGAUUCCCACAAUCAUGUUUGUGCCACAAUUCUGGCGUAUCACAGAAACACCAGCAAGCAAGCUCAUGAUCCUGCAUUCUAUCACACAAAGCCACUGUCUUUGAUCCCUCCAGGACAAUAUCAUUUCCCUCCUUUUAGAGGUUGUUCCUGAAUCCUGGGAACAGCCAACUCCGCAGCAGAAAUCCCCAGAAAGGCUCCACUCUUAGUUACUACUGAGUUGUAGGCUUGUAGCUACAGGAAGUCUUUAUCUGAAUUGUUAUAAUUCAUUAUCCUAUCACGAUGUAUAUUCUAGAUCACCAAUAAAAGAAUUUGCACAUACCCUUAUCAACUGUUCUUCAUGUGGCCACAUAAUGAUCGGGGCCAUCAAAGCCAAGUCCUAUGUUGGAAAUCACAACAACAAUCCUGGCCUAAGUUCCUAGCUCCUAGGAGCCACAGCCAGUUUGCAAGUAGCUAAAAGGGACAGCAGCAACAUCUUAUGAAAACCAAAUCUAAACCCUUCUAAAGCAUCAAUGACCCUUGUCUUUUCGGUAAGUUUAAAUCAUACCACUAUCAACACCUACACUCAUCAAGUAGCACAUCUUAAUGAGUGUUCUAAUCCCGAUGACAACUGAAGGAAAUGCAGGUCAAACAAAUGAACAAUCAGAACAAAUCUAAACUAUAUACUGAUAAGAGCACUAAUAUUGAACAGCAUGAUUUAGUGAAAUGCAUGAUAAUGAGCUGAAAUUUCAACGUACCGACUCUGAAGCCAUCUUUACGGCAGCUUUCGCUAUAGGCAGUAUGCAAAACCUAAACCAAACCCAAACCCAAUACAACAACAAUUUUAGUCUUGAAAUUGACUACUUCAUCAAACAAACAUAAUAGAAUUUUAUUUAAGUAAAUAAACUCCGGGUAAUUAAAUUAAAGUGAGGAACUUACAUUCCACGGCCACCGGCCAGAGCUUCCUCCGAUGGGUCUUUCCAUUCAUCAAUUCUGCAAAUUUAACAUUUACCAAGUCAAUUACUUUAGGUAAAUACAAAAUUACAAAAUCAAAUAUACAUACAUAGAGAGAGACAUACACCCAACCGUAACGGCGGUCAAAUAAGAGGCGUUUGGAUUUUGAAGAGGUUGAAACGGAGGAGAUUGAGGACUCCAUUCUCUGUUACUCUGAAACUGAUUGGGGGAAUAAAAGGAAUAUGAAGUGGGCCGGGUCGGGCUAGUCACUAAUCGGGUCUAAGUUGAUGGCAAAUCCGUAAAUAAAAACAGAGCACCACCGCGCUCUACAUAUUUCAAAGGCCACCCAAAUCAAACUUCUUCCCGCUUAGCUUCUCUCUCUCUGAGCUUUUGAAGAUCGGCGAUCAUGAAACCGACGGAUCGGAUUCCGGCAAAGGCCUGUAAUUCCGGUAACUUUCGUUUCAAAUCGUACUGAUUUCGCUAAUUUCGUUUCCUAGCUUUUCUUUCUUGUUCGCUGCUUUAAUUUUUGCUCCGAUUUCCGUUCGCCGGAAAACUUGAAGAGAAACGAAAUUUCUAUAUAACUUGAACUGAAUUUCUCUGUGAUCUAAGAUUAAGCUUUUUACCGAUCGGAGACGAAGAAAAAGGAAUUGGAAUUUGGAUUGAUUUGGUUGAGUUUGAGUCCAAUUUCCAAGCGUGAUUAGCUUAGGGUUUCUGCUAUGAAUGCGAAUUUUGGCUUUGAAUUAAUGGAUUAAAUGUUGGUUUUGGUGAUUUCAGCUGGGGUUUGUCUGAUGAGAAACGCAUGGAGAGACGAACAGCAUCCAUCUUUCAUAAACUUCAUCUCCAAUUUCCUCGCUGCAAAUUCUUUCCGGCUUAACUUUGCCUCAAUUCCAGCAGUAAUUUAUACUAUUUUAUUAUGUAAUUUUGAAAGGAAAUUUGGUGAAUCGCUCGCUUAAGCGCGGUGAUGGUUUCGAUUGCAUUGCAGGACUUCAUUUUCAACUGUGGAGGUUCAUCAGUGGCAUUCAUCUUUGUCACAAGCUUGGAUUCAACUAAUGUCUCCGAAAUCUUCGCCAGGUGACCAAAUUGUUCUCGCUUUUGGUGCGAUUCUGCUUGUCCUAAUUUUACGAGUUUGAUGUGAAUCCUUGUAUUUAUUACAGAACUCAAUUACUGAAGCAGCAAUUUGCACAUCUCUAUGUUAUCUGUACCCUCCCAACCAAGGAGCAAAAUGACUUGUUUGUUCGUUCUUACUUCAAGUGAGUUUAUCGGAAACUUUUCGUUCAGGGAAAUGUGUCAAUACACUAGUUAGAUCUUAGCUUUAAUAUUCUGUUACAAUUUGAUUAUGAACUGACUGGAGGUGUUUAAACCUGUGAAGUUCCGGAUUGGAGCUUGGUAAGCCGGCAUUUGUUCCGGUUAAAGACUUAGAGAUGGGUUUUGAGAAGAUGCUAAGGAUAGCUUAUGCUCGAGGAGGUAAAUCUUGUUCUCUAAAACUCAGUCACUUACGGAUUUCGUAUGAAAAUUUUCUCAGUAGCCAACUGAUCACAGUAUGCAAGCGAGAGGAUGUCACCACAAAAUUGAAGGCACAGGUUGGUGUAAUGUCAAUACAAACAUUAACAGCGUUAUGCUAUGUUUCGUACUUGGUUCUGAACUUCUGAUGACCUACAAUGCACAUUUCUUUUGCUAAACAUCUUGGGGCUUCUGGUUUGAAUAGAGAGAGCAAUAUGUGCAAACAGCAGGUGUAUUUCAAAGAGUGGUCACAUCUAUACCAGGAAUUGAUAAUCAUGAUGCAAAUGCGGUACAUUACUCUUCAUAGUCCAGGCUUAUAUGACUUAUUUCUAUAUCUUGCAUGUGUUCUUCACUGCGUAACUAAAACUAAGAUUUUUUCUGGCAAUGUUGAUCAGCUUAACCAAGCAGUAGGAUCAAUUGAAGCAAUUGCUAAGGAAUCGAAGGAGCAUAUUCUGGAAAACACAGACCUUUCAGCUGACAAGGCAGAAGUGCUUUCAAGGUUUUUCAGGGAUCCAAAGUUUUACCUCAGUCCCAAGAUCAAUUGACCGCCCUUUUAAACUAAUGAGCUUCAGAUAUGAUCUGGAGAUGCGGACAUAUAUUGAACAUUGCUUCUAUUUUGUGGACUACCACUCCACUUGCAGUGUCUAUAAUGUGGUUUCUGGAAUUGGUAUUGCAUGCAAACUGAGGUUUGAAAACUAAAGCGCUGUAAUCUCCCAUGGUUUUCAAUUCUGCAUGUGGCAAUUAGGUUCCUGAUGGGUACUAAUUAAGUACUAACUAUCAUCAUAAAUUGGCUCUUCUUAUUAGAUUUACAAAUAACUGAAUAACCACUAUGUCGAUCAUUUUAAGAGGAUACGUACCCUCGAGUCCAUAGCCAUGAAUUAAAGCUGGUGAAAACCUUCUCGCUCCCAUGUUUGUAUGACCACUCGUGGCCAUGGCAAUCGAGUACAAUAGCCUUUCCUUGAUUACCUAGGAGAUCCUCUUAAUCCCACAAACCUUGGGUUUAUUGUUUAAAGUUGGAUUCCCUUUGGGGGCUAUUUACCAAAAGGAUAUACAGUAUGUGUCCUUGGAAAUAAACCGCACCAACUUAACAUAUAUAUUUCCAAAACAUUUUCAGUACACGGCGUGUAUUUUCACAUACAUACAUGGAUGAUUAAAAUUAGAGAAAAUAAUAUAGAAACAUGGUGGUCAAACAUAUAAAUUGUUAUGAACGGUUAAGAUUGUGUCAUGUAAAUACACGUUGUGUAUACAAGAAUUUCUAAUACAUAUAUAUAAAUAUAAAUAUAUAUAUAUAAAUAUCAGGGCCCUUCUAUUGAGGGAUCUCUAUUUUUGGCCACUUUUAGGGAUAGGCUCACACAAUUGGAUCUGUUAUUUAAUGAGGUUGGAUGGCUGAGAUUAAAACAAAAAAUUACACACUUUAUAUCAAACCUGGACCGUUCAAGAUCAAUAAAAAUAAAUCGAAGUUUUGAAUGGGUUAACGAUCACUAAAUUAUCUGAAAAUUUGUAGAAAUGAUCUACUCAUAUAACCCAAUGAAUUGAACGGUGUAGAUGCAAAAAUUUGAUCGGGAAGUUGGUGUAAUACCAUAUCCUUAGAAAUGGCUAAAACUAGGGAUCCCUUAAUGGAAAGGCCCUCAUAUAUAUAUAUAUAUAUAUAUAUAUAUUCCCUUAACUUACAUGACGAGAAACAUUGUGACAUUGCGAUCUUGGAAAUAAACCUAUCAACACUGUUCUUUCUUUCACGCUCUCAUAGGAAUGGCUGGACCCGACGGACAUGUAAGAAAGCUAGCCCUCUUCUUUGAGAAACUCGGCGCCUCUUCUCCUCCGGGUAUGAACUUUUCAUUGAUUCGAAAGAAUACAUCUUCUAUCCUUGGCUGACAAUUUCGUGGAAUUAUUUAAAAUUAAGAUUAAAAUUUGUGAACUUAUCUGUUGCUGUCGAAAUCAGAUCUGAAAGUUCUUAUUGCUCUCUCUAAUCCGGAAUUUCUUGUCAGAUACGAGAAAAAGUUCAGAAAUCAGGUCCAACCCCGAAGGACCGGUGGCUGGUGGAGGUGCUUCUGUGGACAAACGACAAUUUGUGCCUUGCGAUGUGUGUUCUAAGUUGAACCCCCCUAAUCUUAGUUGCUCUUACUCUGUGGGGCCUUGUGAUAUUUGUGACAAGGUUCAACGCAUUAAUUGUUGCCCUUAUCUCAACCACCUCCCACAGGGGGCAACUUUUAACUCUGGAUAUGGAAUAGUUUGUGUAUGUGGUUAUGUAUUUGAUGAGGUUAAGUGGGUUGUCCCUUAUGUGGUGGGAGCGGAGCAGUGCUUAAGGCCAAGAAUUGUUCCAUUUGUAACGUCUGGAAGCAGCACUGUGCAUAUGAAUGCCCAAAAAGACAAGGAUCUUGCUGCCGAGUAUAAAUCGAUCAGAGAAAAGAUGCUUUCAGAAGUGUCGACUCCCAUUGCAUGGUCAGGUACCUAUGUUCCAACUGAUCCUUGUGGAGACAUGAAAGAAAAAGGUUGGAAGGUUAUCUCGCAGACCAUGUAAUGUGAUAUUGCACCUGAGAGGAUUUAAUUAAUGUAACUUUAUGAGUUUAAUGUGAUUUAUUGAGCAGAUAAUCAAAC
RNAcentral lists this long non-coding RNA (9211 nucleotides) under Fragaria vesca (wild strawberry). RNAcentral's name for it is "long non-coding RNA (FVES_LNC000551)". Lineage: Eukaryota; Viridiplantae; Streptophyta; Magnoliopsida; Rosales; Rosaceae. The record is from RNAcentral.